UGCAGUUAGUUUUUUUUUUUUUUUUUUUUUUUUUUUUUUUUUUUUUUU
Molecule: non-coding RNA, 48 nt
Filed under: Polarella glacialis
Lineage: Eukaryota; Dinophyceae; Suessiales; Suessiaceae
Source: RNAcentral